UCGCUGCCCGUGACUCGGCAAGAAGUCCAUUGAACCUUAUCAUUUAGAGGAAGGAGAAGUCGUAACAAGGUUUCCGUAGGUGAACCUGCGGAAGGAUCAUUG
This 102-nucleotide ribosomal RNA is filed under the name Telipogon ariasii. Its description in RNAcentral is "partial 18S ribosomal RNA". It matches the Rfam family "Eukaryotic small subunit ribosomal RNA", at positions 1730 to 1831 of the family's 1831-position model. The record is from RNAcentral. Lineage: Eukaryota; Viridiplantae; Streptophyta; Magnoliopsida; Asparagales; Orchidaceae.